AUGUCGAUUACACACCGGAGGUUGGUAAGAACUGAGGGACAAUGCCCCCCUAACCUAAGUGGGCCUACCAGCGAAACAACUGGGGCGGCGGCGUUCUUGAAUGAAGUCUAUCCGAACCGAAUUAGCACUUCUCAGAUCAGGCUAGGCCUCUCCAGCUCCGCAGGGCGCCGGGGCCCUGGAUGCGCUAGCGAUCGGCACAUAGGGGGUGCCGGGUUUCUCGGCCUGGUAUCCUGCACCUCGCGUUCAUGA
RNAcentral lists this long non-coding RNA (249 nucleotides) under Vicia faba (fava bean). Lineage: Eukaryota; Viridiplantae; Streptophyta; Magnoliopsida; Fabales; Fabaceae. The record is from RNAcentral.